RNAcentral lists this ribosomal RNA (696 nucleotides) under uncultured bacterium. RNAcentral describes it as "bacterial SSU rRNA". It matches the Rfam family "Bacterial small subunit ribosomal RNA", at positions 32 to 715 of the family's 1533-position model. The record is from RNAcentral.
AACGCUAGCUACAGGCUUAACACAUGCAAGUCGAGGGGAAACGACAUCGAAAGCUUGCUUUUGAUGGGCGUCGACCGGCGCACGGGUGAGUAACGCGUAUCCAACCUGCCCACCACUUGGGGAUAACCUUGCGAAAGUAAGACUAAUACCCAAUGAUAUCCCACGAAGGCAUCCGAAUGGGAUUAAAGAUUUAUCGGUGAUGGAUGGGGAUGCGUCUGAUUAGCUUGUUGGCGGGGUAACGGCCCACCAAGGCAACGAUCAGUAGGGGUUCUGAGAGGAAGGUCCCCCACAUUGGAACUGAGACACGGUCCAAACUCCUACGGGAGGCAGCAGUGAGGAAUAUUGGUCAAUGGGCGAGAGCCUGAACCAGCCAAGUAGCGUGCAGGACGACGGCCCUAUGGGUUGUAAACUGCUUUUAUAAGGGAAUAAAGUGAGUCUCGUGAGACUUUUUGCAUGUACCUUAUGAAUAAGGACCGGCUAAUUCCGUGCCAGCAGCCGCGGUAAUACGGAAGGUCCGGGCGUUAUCCGGAUUUAUUGGGUUUAAAGGGAGCGUAGGCCGGAGAUUAAGCGUGUUGUGAAAUGUAGUGGCUCAACCUCUGCACUGCAGCGCGAACUGGUCUUCUUGAGUACGCACAACGUGGGCGGAAUUCGUGGUGUAGCGGUGAAAUGCUUAGAUAUCACGAAGAACUCCGAUUG